GAGGGGAAAGGAGAAAAAGAGAAGGAGAGAGGAGAGAUGGAAGAGAAGGAAAGAAGGAGGAAGGAGUAAAAAAAGUUUGUGUCUUUUCUUUUUCCUUUCCUUCCUAAUCCUGCUCUCUUCUCCCUCUCUUCCUUCCUACCACCUUCU
This 147-nucleotide microRNA precursor is filed under the name Marmota monax (woodchuck). Lineage: Eukaryota; Metazoa; Chordata; Mammalia; Rodentia; Sciuridae. The record is from RNAcentral.